AUUGAACGCUGGCGGCAUGCUUUACACAUGCAAGUCGAACGGCAGCGCGGGCUUCGGCCUGGCGGCGAGUGGCGAACGGGUGAGUAAUGCAUCGGAACGUGCCCAGUAGUGGGGGAUAGCCCGGCGAAAGCCGGAUUAAUACCGCAUACGACCUGAGGGUGAAAGCGGGGGACCGAAAGGCCUCGCGCUAUUGGAGCGGCCGAUGUCGGAUUAGCUAGUUGGUGGGGUAAAGGCUUACCAAGGCGACGAUCCGUAGCUGGUCUGAGAGGACGACCAGCCACACUGGGACUGAGACACGGCCCAGACUCCUACGGGAGGCAGCAGUGGGGAAUUGUGGACGAUGGGGGCAACCCUGAUCCAGCCAUGCCGCGUGCGGGAAGAAGGCCUUCGGGUUGUAAACCGCUUUUGUUCGGGAAGAAAUCCUCUGGGCUAAUACCCCGGGGGGAUGACGGUACCGGAAGAAUAAGCACCGGCUAACUACGUG
This 484-nucleotide ribosomal RNA is filed under the name uncultured bacterium. RNAcentral describes it as "partial 16S ribosomal RNA". It matches the Rfam family "Bacterial small subunit ribosomal RNA", at positions 28 to 507 of the family's 1533-position model. The record is from RNAcentral.